Molecule: long non-coding RNA, 385 nt
Organism: Sebastes umbrosus (honeycomb rockfish)
Lineage: Eukaryota; Metazoa; Chordata; Actinopteri; Perciformes; Sebastidae
Exons: 3
Source: RefSeq, a predicted model, not a curated record
CGACGCUACACACAUUAGGAAAAGGAGAAGAAGAAGAACACGAAGAAGCCCCGCCCCCUCUGCAGGUAAUUGACAGGGGAUGAGUGGAGCCUCAGAGGAGAGCAGCUUCUGGAGCCAGACUGGAGCCAGCUAAAUUAAGUUCUUUGGAGUCCGACGCUUCCGCGGCGCCCUUGAACGCCCCAUGUAGAGCGGUCCGACAGCGACACCCGGAGGCGGGUCGGUGAACUGCAGCUGCAGGUUCCAGAAGUCCAGGAGCUUUCUCUGCUGCGAGCGUCCUCCUUGUCUCUUCCGGCUCGAAGGCGGCAGGAUGAUAUAAUCCAGACCGGAUCAGACCGGUUCCUGCUUUCUCCCCGUCUCUCACAGUGUGGCUCUACCAGCCCCCGCU